RNAcentral lists this long non-coding RNA (418 nucleotides) under Mytilus galloprovincialis (Mediterranean mussel). Lineage: Eukaryota; Metazoa; Mollusca; Bivalvia; Mytilida; Mytilidae. The record is from RNAcentral.
UUUCCUUAUUCGGUUUUCAUUUCCUUAUACAGUUUCUAUUUCCUUAUUCGAUUUCCAUUUCCUUAUUCGAUUUUCAUUUCCUUAUUCGGUUUCCUUUUUCCUUUUUCAAUGUUUAUUUCCUUUUUCAGUUUCUAUUUCCUUAUUCGGUUUCUAUUUCCUAAUUGGAUUUUCAUUUCCUUAUUCGAUUUCCAUUUCCUUAUUCGAUUUCCAUUUCCUUAUUCGGUUUCUAUUUCCUUAUUGGGUUUCUAUUUCCUUAUUGGGUUUCUAUUUCCUUAUUGGAUUUUCGUUUCCUUAUUCGAUUUCCAUUUCCUUAUUCGGUUUUCUUUUCCUUUUUCAAUCUUCAUUUCCUUUUUCGGUUGCGAUUUCCUUAUCCGGUUUCUAUUUCCUUAUUCAGUUUCCAUUUCCUUAUUGGAUUUUC